CGAUUCACAGGCGCAUGUGCGUUAGAGGAGAGCUCAGUCUUUUCUUGUUUGAUGUUUGUUGUGAUGUACCCACUGCAAAGGUUAUGCAAAAUACUCAAGCAGCACAGAGACAGACAGUCACAGAUAGAAGCCAUGCUGAAGAACCACACCCACAGAGGAACAUGCCAGCAGGUGCAUCUAAUUACAGCAUCCUGUCUACAGACGUUUGACAGUCUUAUGACAAAUGCAAUGUCAGAUGCUUCGCAUUUGAACUUUGGCUAAGGACACCUAACAAACCUAAAUGUAUUAUCACCCUGAAAACAUCCCAUGAUACAUCACUGCCAACAACAUCAUGAUACAAGUGCUGGGGAAAACAACAAAGUGCCACACAAACACUUCUCAUCUUCUCAGCACAUGACACAAGAGCAACUUACAAUUUAGCCCCUCACAGCAAACAGUGAACCUGAAGAAACUUUCCAUUUCCUCUAAAGGGAUCUUCACCCAGCUCUUGCAGAGGUGUGAGUGCUGCAGUUAGGAACGUGACGCUGUUUCUCAGUCACGCCCAUCUGAGAUGCACAACAAAGCUGCUCACUCGAACACAAACACAUUACACAUCUAUCUCUUAUCUCACCUGUGAUUUCAGGCACAAGCAUUUAUCAUCAGAUUUUCAA
This is a long non-coding RNA of Sinocyclocheilus grahami, 650 nucleotides long. RefSeq lists it as uncharacterized. The record is from RefSeq and is a predicted model, not a curated record. Lineage: Eukaryota; Metazoa; Chordata; Actinopteri; Cypriniformes; Cyprinidae. The transcript has 3 exons.